GUUUUUUCCUUGCUUGAUACCCAUCCUGAGCUGUUUAUGUCCUUGUGCCUCUCUUCACAAACCUGCUGUUCAAGGAAAAGUUAGUGGAAGCCGUUAUCCAUGUCAACAUUGAACCAGAAGAGCAUGAUUUGCAAGAGGAACUGCUACACAUUUUACACUUAUUUACUCCAACCUUUCCUGCUAAUUCCAGGUUUAUUGGAGAAGACAGAAUGACUGAUGACAGAAGCACCUGCGAUCUUCUUCUUGUGCUGUGGGCUUCAGGGGAAUCCAAGAGUUCCUGGCAAAGAGGAUCUAAUGAAGACUGACAUUGAUCAAUAAAGGCAUGGGGUUAAAAGAGCAACAAUAAGAAUACCUUAAAGUUGUACUCAGAAGAUAGGAGCUAUCUCUGCUUCCUUUCAGAAACAUCAUUAUUACCUUGAAUCAGAGCCUGCCAGAAGCAUUUUGCACAACAAUUGUAAGAAGAGACUGAAACUUCAGAAACACUUUUAGAUCUGCAUUUCCAAACAACAACCAAAACUGCUGGAUGCAAGGUGGCUGCUUACACUACAGACCUGUUACAUAUAUUCCAACCCCAUAAUGCUAGGGGUUUACAAGGAUAAUAUUUGUGAACUUUCACAUUCUAUGUAGCGGUCACAAUGAAGUCCUCUAAAGGCAUCCUUUGAUGGAAGCAAUUUGGACGUUUAUGAUGGCUCAAAGCAAGGUUCCAAGCAAUGAGACUACAUUAGUGUAGAUCACCAAUAUAAAUAGAACAGCUAUCAUAUCAUAUCAGUUCUGUCCACAGCACGUGAGUAGGAGAAGUUCUGAAAUAAGAUCAUCAGGAACAAAGAAAGGAGUAUUUCAGAAUAUAUUCAGUUGAUUCCAGAGGUAGCCAAUCCUGCUUGAUUGAAUGUUUGCAAAAUUCAAUUCUCUGUUUGCAGAUUUAGGUACAGCAGGUCUUUGAAUAACAGUCAUUUCAUUCAACAUUGUUUCCUUAUAACGUUGAUGAGAAAAAAAGAAUAUAUAUAUACAUAUAUAUUCCCACUGGGGUUCACUGUCUGGGUAGAGUCUACAUGUUUUCCCCAGGUCUGGAUGGGUUUUUUUCUGGGUACCCAGGUCUCCCUGACAUUCCAAAGUUAUGCACAUUCAGUUCAUCUAAUGGUCCCAGUCAGAGUGAGUGCGGGGGGUCAGUGAGUACACCUGGUGAUACUACCUGUGUAGGGAUGGUUGUUUCCUGUCUGGUGUCCUAAGCUGCAGGGAGAAGCUCAGGCCACCUGCAACCCUAAACUGGAAUAAGCAGAUCUCGAUGGAAAGUUCAAGACAAAAUCAGUUUAAGAAUUUAGAAAAUCUUAUCGCUUCUCGGCCUUUUGGCUAAGAUCAAAUGAAGAAUUUAGAAAAUCUUGGGACUUCUUUAUUCCAUCUGUGCAUACGGUACUAUUUAUAAUUUGGGGGUUGGGCUUCUGGUUUGUAUUAUAUUUAGUUUUAUAUAAGUCAGAGACUAUAUGCCUAAAUCAACAUAUGCCCAGUGGUUGAAUGGUGGGCUCAAUUUUUUCCAGUGAAAAUAUAUUGCUUGGAAAACAAAGUAACUGACUCAAUUUUAUGAUGGCUAAAUCCAAAUUUCUUAAAUUGUAUACUUUCUCUGUCAAUCAAUAUCGAUGUUUUAAAAUUAAUAUCAUGCCCUUACAAAAUGAUCCUUAUAUCAACUGCAUUUGCAUGUUUUUGUUUGUUUGAUGACAAAGUCUUGCU
This 1722-nucleotide long non-coding RNA is filed under the name Homo sapiens (human). Its description in RNAcentral is "HSALNT0302626". Lineage: Eukaryota; Metazoa; Chordata; Mammalia; Primates; Hominidae. The record is from RNAcentral.